GUGCUUGCUUCAGCAGCACAUACACCAAACUGGAAAAAGACAGAGAAGAUUAGCACGACCCCUGUGCAAGGAUGACGUGCAAAUCCAUGAAACUUUCAUAUUUGGG
Molecule: small nuclear RNA, 106 nt
Organism: Bison bison bison
Lineage: Eukaryota; Metazoa; Chordata; Mammalia; Artiodactyla; Bovidae
Source: Ensembl